This is a small nucleolar RNA of Octodon degus (degu), 139 nucleotides long. The record is from Ensembl. Lineage: Eukaryota; Metazoa; Chordata; Mammalia; Rodentia; Octodontidae.
AUCCAAGGUGAUUGGCUCUCCAAGGGCCCAACUAGCGUCACCUUCAUGAAAGAAGCAAAUUGGAAGAAAAUCAGGCAUACCUGGAGUCACUUGGGACAUAGGUGCUUAUUUUCUUUACUGUCCUUUGACCUUCACAGGU